UUGGGAUGAUGGAGAGAGCUAGCUGUAAAAACAAAAACAUUGUUGCUUGAAAAAAAGAGAGCAAACGGCAAGUAUACCAAAAAGGAAAGAUAGACAAAAGGAGUAAAAAGUGGGGGUUGAACUUGUGUGUCAAG
Caenorhabditis elegans is the source of this 134-nucleotide non-coding RNA. The record is from Ensembl. NCBI's taxonomy places the organism in Eukaryota, Metazoa, Nematoda, Chromadorea, Rhabditida, Rhabditidae.